This 839-nucleotide ribosomal RNA is filed under the name uncultured bacterium. Its description in RNAcentral is "bacterial SSU rRNA". It matches the Rfam family "Bacterial small subunit ribosomal RNA", at positions 28 to 896 of the family's 1533-position model. The record is from RNAcentral.
GAUGAACGCUGGCGGCGUGCCUAACACAUGCAAGUCGAGCGAUUUACUUCGGUAAAGAGCGGCGGACGGGUGAGUAACGCGUGGGUAACCUGCCCUAUACACACGGAUAACAUACCGAAAGGUAUGCUAAUACGGGAUAACAUAAGAGAUUCGCAUGGAUUUCUUAUCAAAGCUUUUGCGGUAUAGGAUGGACCCGCGUCUGAUUAGCUAGUUGGUAAGGUAACGGCUUACCAAGGCGACGAUCAGUAGCCGACCUGAGAGGGUGAUCGGCCACAUUGGAACUGAGACACGGUCCAAACUCCUACGGGAGGCAGCAGUGGGGAAUAUUGCACAAUGGGCGAAAGCCUGAUGCAGCAACGCCGCGUGAGCGAUGAAGGCCUUCGGGUCGUAAAGCUCUGUCCUCAAGGAAGAUAAUGACGGUACUUGAGGAGGAAGCCCCGGCUAACUACGUGCCAGCAGCCGCGGUAAUACGUAGGGGGCUAGCGUUAUCCGGAAUUACUGGGCGUAAAGGGUGCGUAGGUGGUUUCUUAAGUCAGAGGUGAAAGGCUACGGCUCAACCGUAGUAAGCCUUUGAAACUGAGAAACUUGAGUGCAGGAGAGGAGAGUAGAAUUCCUAGUGUAGCGGUGAAAUGCGUAGAUAUUAGGAGGAAUACCAGUUGCGAAGGCGGCUCUCUGGACUGUAACUGACACUGAGGCACGAAAGCGUGGGGAGCAAACAGGAUUAGAUACCCUGGUAGUCCACGCCGUAAACGAUGAGUACUAGCUGUCGGAGGUUACCCCCUUCGGUGGCGCAGCUAACGCAUUAAGUACUCCGCCUGGGAAGUACGCUCGCAAGAGUG